AAGUCGUAACAAGGUCUCCGUAGGUGAACCUGCGGAGGGAUCAUUACAAGUGACCCCGGUUUACCACCGGGAUGUUCAUAACCCUUUGUUGUCCGACUCUGUUGCCUCCGGGGCGACCCUGCCUUCGGGCGGGGGCUCCGGGUGGACACUUCAAACUCUUGCGUAACUUUGCAGUCUGAGUAAAUUUAAUUAAUAAAUUAAAACUUUCAACAACGGAUCUCUUGGUUCUGGCAUCGAUGAAGAACGCAGCGAAAUGCGAUAAGUAAUGGUGAAUUGCAGGAAUUCAGUGAAAUCAUCGAAUCUUUGAACGCACAUUGCGGCCCUGGUAUUCCGGGGGGCAUGCCUGUUCGAGCGUCAUUUCAACCACUCAAGCGCGCUCGCUUGGUAUUGGGCAACGCGGUCCGCCGCGUGCCUCAAAUCGACCGGCUGGGUUCUUCUGUCCCCUAAGCGUUGUGGAAACUAUUCGCUAAAGGUGGUUCGGGAGGCUACGCCGUAAAACAACCCAUUUCUAAGGUUGACCUGCGGAUCAGGUAGGGAUACCCGCUGAACUUAA
Molecule: ribosomal RNA, 553 nt
Filed under: uncultured fungus
Lineage: Eukaryota; Fungi
Description: eukaryotic LSU rRNA
Rfam family: 5.8S ribosomal RNA (bases 202-357)
Source: RNAcentral